RNAcentral lists this unclassified non-coding RNA (1652 nucleotides) under Hevea brasiliensis (rubber tree). The record is from RNAcentral. Lineage: Eukaryota; Viridiplantae; Streptophyta; Magnoliopsida; Malpighiales; Euphorbiaceae.
UAUUUCCAAAUAUAAACCUCUAUUUCCUUACCCUUCCUUUAAUUACCCUUCCUUUAAUUAUCCUUCUAUAGGACAAAUAUUUUACCCACUAAAAAAAGGCAUGAAACUGUAUAAUGACAUUAAUAACUUAUUCAAAGGGAAGUGAAAAAGUAGAUAUAAAUCCUAGACUGCUACAUCAAUAGGUCAAAACAAUAGAUGAGAAACAAUUUUUUCCAUGACCCAAAUAGGGAGAGGAAAAGUCAUUCAAUAGGCUGUCCACCACCAAUAAAUCGAUGGUCCCACAUAAAGAAUACUUUGAAGAGCCUUUGAUUGAAUAGGCAUGUUCCACUUCAGCUUUUUGUGUAUUUUUAAUAAUAAUAAAAAAAAAUCAAUCCUAUAUUUGCAAGCAGCAACAAAGACAAAUACAACUUCAGCAGCCAGUGUAUUUGAUGAUGAAACCUCUACUAUUGCAUUAGAACAACACUCCCGUAUUUAAUUAGGCAAAACAAAGUAUCCCACAAAGCAAAAGAUUCAUUUGUAGUUUCAAACUUCUGAAAACUCGUUAACCUUUUGAUCUCAUUGGGUGAAAUGCUCGAAAUUUCAUGAAUCCAUUGAAAUGUCUCCUCCAUUUGGGUUCUGUGGGCUGGCAGUGAAGGGGCUCUCAGAUAAACUAUGUUGAGGAUGGCCAGCUCCAAACUGGUACUCAGGAGGAACAUGCAGAGGACGGGUCAAAAAGGAGGUAGUGCUGAUGCUGUUGAAAGCAGCACCAGGAACUGGAUCAUUAACCUUUGGAAACCCAAAGCUAAGGGAUGGCACGCCUGCAUGUGGGAAAACUGGCAAGGCAGGGUUGUUGCCAUCAGAUGACCCAAAAGUUUUUUGCUCGUAUUCCUGCAACUGCUGGUACACAGCUUGGGUCAAGUCAACCGAUGGUCUCCGCUCUUUCACCCACUGGAAACUUUGUGCAAGCGUCCAUCCUUUGGACUUCAUUAAGUAAGCUAUCACAAUAGCCGGAGACCUAUUUUUUCCAGACAUGCAGUGCACAAGAACACGAACCUUAUCCUUUUCACAUUGCUCUAAAAAUUGAUUUGCAUCAUCAAAUUGUAAAGUUUUGUCAUCUUGGAGGCAAUGAUAAGUGAAAGAAUUCUUGUAGAGAUUUUGACAAGCCGGUACUGUCUACAUAAAGACAAAACAACAGAUAUAAGGUAAUGCCAAACCUCUUGUUAUUCCUGGCUAACUGAAUAACUGUUUCACAUCAACAAUAGACAAUCAUCAAACUGAUAAUAAAAAUAUAAUUUUCAUAAAAGAAUAUCAGAGAGAUAGACUGAAUGAAUGAAAUAUAACAUAUUUAAAAUUGCAGAAGCAAAGGGAAAAAAAAAUCAUUUGUUCUCUCCCACUUUUCCUUCAUUAAUAUAUACUUACUUAGAUCUAGAGCAAAGAAAUCAAUAAUUGUUCUUAUCAGUAAAACUAAAGCAAAGAAAUGGAUAUUUCAAGUGUUUAACCUCUAAAUUUUACACCAUAAUCAUAGUUUUAAAUCGCAGUCGCCUACAACAGCCGUGAUAUAAAGGCAACAGCCUGACACAACAAGUUCAUAAAAUGAGUAAAUAUUGGUAGAUACAACUAAAACUAAUAUUUACAACUAUAUAAUAAACAUAAAUAUAUCAAAUUAGAUGUUA